CAAGCAAGCCAAGGACCAUAUGUUUUUUGUGUUACACUUUCAGCAUCUAAGCUUAUUAUAUUCAACACAAGGAGAAAGUCCCCGGAAAACAAAAUAUCUUCUGUCCAAUGAUUAAAGAUUAGGGCAGUGGGGUAUUUAGUAAAGCAACUUUGUUUGUUUGUUUUUCAUAAUAAAAGUAAUAUGGUCACCUAUAAUAAUGGGGCAACUUAAUGGGGCUUACUCUGGCUUGUUU
RNAcentral lists this RNase MRP RNA (232 nucleotides) under Puccinia triticina 1-1 BBBD Race 1. RNAcentral describes it as "RNase MRP". It matches the Rfam family "RNase MRP". From Rfam's summary of the family: RNase MRP is an enzymatically active ribonucleoprotein with two distinct roles in eukaryotes. In mitochondria it plays a direct role in the initiation of mitochondrial DNA replication. The record is from Rfam by way of RNAcentral. Lineage: Eukaryota; Fungi; Basidiomycota; Pucciniomycetes; Pucciniales; Pucciniaceae.